This 478-nucleotide long non-coding RNA is filed under the name Phaseolus vulgaris (common bean). RNAcentral describes it as "long non-coding RNA (PVUL_LNC000314)". Lineage: Eukaryota; Viridiplantae; Streptophyta; Magnoliopsida; Fabales; Fabaceae. The record is from RNAcentral.
UCCGGUGUCUACUACUACUGUUGCUGCAGUUCCUCCUCCUACCCCUCAAAAGUUUGCUAUUAGUAGCAUUCCACCACGCCAACCACCAAUGGGUGCCAAACCUAGCCCGCCUCUACCACCACCGCCAGCACUAGCUGGUUCCAGACCAGGUUAUCCUCCACCCCCUCCAGCACUAGCUGUUUCCAGACCUGGUCCUCCUCCUCCACCACCCCCUGCAGCCCCAGCUGGUAUCAGACCUGGUCCUCCUCCACCACCACCCCCUGCAGCCCCAGCUGGUAUCAGACCUGGUCCUCCUCCACCACCACCCCCAGCACCAGGUGGUGCCAAACCUGGUCCCCGCCCACCACCACCUCCUGUGAAUGGUGUAGCUCCUCCUCGACCUCCUCCAUUUGGCUCAAAGGCGCCACGGCCUUUAGCUAGUGGAUCAAAAGCUACAGUUGCAAGUGAAGCUGAUGCUCCCAAAGCCAAGCUAAAGCCC